GCCCGUGGUGCUCUCAGCAGACUUCGGAACCCUGUGCGGGCUCGUGGUGCAGGAGCGGCCCCUGGGCGUCUUCGAGUCCCGCGCGCUGCC
RNAcentral lists this transfer RNA (90 nucleotides) under Prorocentrum minimum. RNAcentral describes it as "partial Selenocysteine transfer RNA". The record is from RNAcentral. Lineage: Eukaryota; Dinophyceae; Prorocentrales; Prorocentraceae.